This 246-nucleotide unclassified non-coding RNA is filed under the name Hevea brasiliensis (rubber tree). The record is from RNAcentral. Lineage: Eukaryota; Viridiplantae; Streptophyta; Magnoliopsida; Malpighiales; Euphorbiaceae.
GAAUGUUACUACUAUCAUCAGAAGGACCACAUUCAAUAUCAUUGUAGAAAAAUGAAGGAAUACCUUGUAGAGUUCAAAAAAUUCACAAGAAAGCCAUGAAAAAGAAGAGACGGCCAUAAUUGCAAUUACAAUUACAAUUGAUGAUGAUGUUGAAUGUGAUGUUUUGAAUGUGGAUGAUAAUGAAGAAAAGGCAAAGGAUCCAUUGCGAGAUGAGUGGUUAAUAGAUUCUGCUUGCCCAUUCCAUAU